UCAAAUUAUUAUACCUGCCAUCUAUUCUGAAGGCCCACUAACCUUUCCUAAAAAUCAUUUUAUCUCCUCUAAGAGGCCUGUAUUCCCACUUCCCUUUCCCUAUUCAGUUGGUAUUUCACUCUGAAUUCUAAACUACCUCAGGGACCUCCUCUUCUCCUGAGUAUCUCCCAUGUAUACAUGAAGUAUACAUGUUAAUAAACUUCUGUGUUUUUUUUCCUCGUUAAUCUGUCUUUUAUUACAAGGGUCUCAGCUAAGAACUCAGAAGGGUAGAGAGAACAUUUUUUCUCCUCCCCUACAACAACAAAACAAAACAAAAUAUUGAAAUACCAACGCAGGCUUUCAGCAUACUUCUCUGCCCCUGACUCCAGGUCUAAUGUGUGGCACAUUCUCCAGCAGGGGGCGCCUGUCUGCUGCCUCCAAAGGGCCAGCACAGAGCAGCCAAUGCCUGGCUCUACCAAGAUGAACUCUUAGGAUUCUACCUAGACACUCAAAGAUUCAAAUGUCUUUGGUGUAGGAUUGGGCUUGAGUGGCCAAGAGCUUCGAUGAGAAUGGAAACAAGUGUAUGGAAGUCUGAAGCCUGCAAAGCAGAUCGAGUUUCAAUCCCGGGUGGUGAGUCUUCAAAGGGAAAGAACUGGUCUGUAUAUAGUUUUCUUUUCACUCCCCAUUAAAAAAAAAUUUUUUUUUUUAACAUUUAUUUAUUUUUGAGACAGAGAGAGACAGAGCAUGAACGGGGGAGGGGCAGAGAGAGAAGGAGACACAGAAUUGGAAGCAGGCUCCAGGCUCUGAGCCAUCAGCCCAGAGCCGACGCGGGGCUCAAACGCUUAACCGACUGAGCCACCCAGGCGCCCCCACUCCCCAUUUUUAAAUACCCCAGAGUGACCCUGGGUCUUUUUCUUCUCCUUAUUUGACUCAAAUUGAGUCUUUAAAUAAACUAUGCUCCUCUUAGCAGCCUAAAACAUAUCUAGAGGAAAUGUGUCAUUGAAAGUGCUAUUUUGAAGUCAUGUGAUAAAUUAUCAGAGCCAGAAUCUCCUUACCCCCCUCUGAGCUCUAUGCCUUCUUUGGCUCCGUAAGAGAAUAACUUUCUUUUUUUCCCUCUCCUUCUCCUUUUGGCUUCUAAAACUGACACAGAGAAUAUGGCUUGCCCUGAGAAACUGCAUGCAGGUGGUGAGCACAUGGCAAGUGUUAGGCAGUUGUGUGUGUUGAAGUCAGUGUGGCAUGUGUGGGAAUGCAAGAAGUGACAGUAACUCCUUCAUGUGGGGAGUGGGGCUUAACAAUGGUAAUCAAGGGAGCUUUGGGGAAGAGGG
Molecule: long non-coding RNA, 1304 nt
Filed under: Panthera leo (lion)
Lineage: Eukaryota; Metazoa; Chordata; Mammalia; Carnivora; Felidae
Description: lncRNA (ENSPLOG00000018323.1)
Source: RNAcentral